UCCUCAAUUUCUUCCCCUGCUCUCUCCAGUUCUGGUCCGUGCUUAUAGAGUGCAUAACAGUAUGAUCAAUGAACUUAGGAGGAAUUUAAUGAUAGGGAGAUUAUGGAUGUCACAUGUUUCUUUCCCGAGAUGGUAUCAAAAUAUCAUGAAACAGCGAAGCAAGAUCAACCACUUUUUCUGAUAUGGAAAAAGAUCAAAUUUCAAUUUCAUUUUGCCAGCACGAUCAGAGUUAGUGGAAGGACUUGCAUGUCAAUCUCUUCAAAAGCAAUGUCGAUGACUGGUAGUGAAGACUAGAGACACAGUGAAAAUGGUUUACAACGGAUGAAUCAAGGCAGAGGCGGAUCCAGGAUUUAAAGUUUAUGGGUUCCCAGCUAGGGUUGCUUACCGGCAUACAGCUUUGUACAAUUGGCAGAGUCGUAGUAUGCUGAAAGCCAAGGACUGGAUAUUAAGGGCCAUCCAAAGGUUCUAAAUACAAGAAAGUGAGUUAACCUGUCUUUCUACAUUCAUAAAAUCUUCAAUUAUAGUUCUUACGAAGAUGGUUAUUGAUUUGAAAACGCUACCAUUAUUUUUGCAGCUCGGGAUGAUGUUAUUGCCCUUAGUUCACUUUUCAAACUCUUACAAGUUGAUUUUUCAAAAAAUGUAAGAAAAUCAGGGAUGAUAAUGGGGUAGAGCAAACUACAAAUGGUGUAAGAUAGUUUCGCUUCUAAUAAGACCUGGAGGAACUGUAGACACUUAGAUAUGGAGAAGGGAAUUUGCUCUGGUACUGUUUGUGCACAUUCCAGCGCGCAGAUGUCUGGACUUUUGAAGUCCCUGAAGACAGUAAUGGUGAUUCCUGGCCAAAUGUAUGCAACUGCCUUCUUUUGUCUAAAAAUUCAAAUACAAAGUGAUGUGGUAUAAUUGACAGUUCCCAUUGUUAAUAGCAUAUGCCCAACCAUUAUUUUCAUAAGCUUUUUGAUAAUGUAAUUUCAAAUGUUUGGUGGUUUGACGUUGCCGACAGUUCUAAUAGGUAGUAAUGUGACGCUUCUAAAUUGUACUUUGAUUACAUCAUUGUGUAGCAAUCAGAAAAUUCAUAUUGU
This is a long non-coding RNA of Lycium ferocissimum, 1076 nucleotides long. RefSeq lists it as uncharacterized. The record is from RefSeq and is a predicted model, not a curated record. The transcript is spliced from 7 exons. Lineage: Eukaryota; Viridiplantae; Streptophyta; Magnoliopsida; Solanales; Solanaceae.